UACGAAGGUGGCAAGCGUUGUUCGGAUUUACUGGGCGUAAAGGGAGCGUAGGUGGUUAGGUAAGCCCUCCGGGAAAUCUUCAGGCUUAACCUGAAAAGGUCGGGGGGGACUGCCUGGCUAGAGGACGGGAGAGGAGCGCGGAAUUCCCGGUGUAGCGGUGAAAUGCGUAGAGAUCGGGAGGAAGGCCGGUGGCGAAGGCGGCGCUCUGGAACGUUUCUGACACUGAGGCUCGAAAGCGUGGGGAGCAAACAGGAUUAGAUACCCUGGUAGUCCACGCCCUAAACUAUGGACACUAAGUGCCGGCGGGUUACCGUCGGUGCCGCAGCUAACGCAUUAAGUGUCCCGCCUGGGGAGUACGGCCGCAAGGUUGAA
RNAcentral lists this ribosomal RNA (372 nucleotides) under uncultured bacterium. RNAcentral's name for it is "bacterial SSU rRNA". It matches the Rfam family "Bacterial small subunit ribosomal RNA", at positions 524 to 898 of the family's 1533-position model. The record is from RNAcentral.